RNAcentral lists this long non-coding RNA (1791 nucleotides) under Homo sapiens (human). RNAcentral describes it as "HSALNT0369256". The record is from RNAcentral. Lineage: Eukaryota; Metazoa; Chordata; Mammalia; Primates; Hominidae.
CUCACCCACUGGACUGAACCUUCCCAGGCACUAACCAGUGUCGUUAAUUCACUUCCAUUUGCCACUGACUCUAUGGACACAAUUGGAUAAGGUUAUUUUAUCAAGACUUUAACUGGAAGGGUCCAGGAGCUCCAAAUUUAUCUUGGGACCUUAAGAAGAGGGGAUCACCUAACCCACAGGUAUUUGAGGAUGGAAAUCCGUGGCUGGACUGGGCUUUAAAAGGUCUUAUCUGUGAUUCCUUGUGGAACACACUUCCAUCAAAGCCAAUCCAAGAGGCCUGUGUAGAAAUAAUUAUUCUUUUUGCACUUUAUGCAAAUAAACAGGCCAAGUAUAAGACCAAAGUCUAUUUAAACAACUCAGUGCUAUGAUCAUUUGUUUCUUGGAGCUCCCUAGACCUCAUUUAUGCCAUGGAUACUAACGUGGCCUUUAUCCAUGCAAUAGGAAGCUUGGGGUUGGAAUAAGUAGGGACUAAAUGGAAUGCCCAUCAUGUGAAGGUUUCCUUUUUUGGGAAAGUAAGACCAAGGGAACUAACCAAAUCCAAGAACCAUGCAUCCAAAUCCUAGCAAGCAUAACUAUAGCUACCAGUUAGCUGGGUGUGUCACACAACAUCCUUUCCUCUCCCUUGUUGGAGGAAAAAUCAGUUCCACAGUUUUACCUUAGCAUUUGGCUUAUGAUAAGGAGUCCAUGCAACCCUCCCAGAGACACAUUUUUGUCCCAGACUCAAUUCUAAGCUUUGGGUCAAAGCCCUGGAAAGAAAACUGGAUCUAAUGGCUCCAGAGGCAGAUGGCAAUGGAGGUUAAAAGGCACAGCACAGGUGACCAUGGCAGAUUCCUGCUGAUUAAGCCAAACCCAAGCUUCCUGUUUCAUGGAUAAAGACCAUGUCAGUAUCCAUGGCAUACAUGAGGUCUAGGGAACUCCAAUGCUACUGACAGUAGGAGGGAUAGAUGCAUAGGUGAGAGUGGGCAAUUCCCAUUCUCUAGGCACUCCCUGAUUCAUGGGUGCAAGCCGCUUUGGCACUCAUGGUGGUGCCUGCCAAAGUUGCUGGGUCUCUGGGAUGCAAGGAUGGAAGAGGAAAAGAGGGACACUUCCUUCUCUCUCUCAUGUACCCCGGGUAUCUGCUAGGAAGAGAAGGGAACCAGGGAUGUCUGCUCCCCUCUUUCUAGGUGGGUGGCCAUUCGUCUUCAGUGUGUACCCCUUCCAAAUGCAUCCUGAACUGCUGGGACUUCUUUGAAAAGCACCUUCUUUUCCCUGUCUCCUCCUCAGUCCUCUCUUCAGUUAGGCCAUCAAACUCCAAACAAUCAUGCAACCAGAGCCUCUAAUGAUGGCCCCUUCUGCCAGGAACCUUUAAAUUUCCUCUGAGGGAGCUCUGACUGUUGUUUCUCAACAACUGCACCCCCUGUCAGCAGGAAGCAGUUAAGAUCAUCUUCCUCCUUACCUUGAAUCUACCAGCGGUUACAUGUACUUCUUUAGAGGGGUGAAUGAGAGCCAGGUGGGAGGGGGUCCCUGGAGAAAUUCCAGUCAGUCUGCCCAUUGAGGUGGAGCCUUGGGAAGUUCAUGCCCUUUGCAGUGGGGAGGGGCCUGGCCCCACCUCUUCCUAUGUGGAACCCAGUAUUCAAAUAGCAGCAGGAAGCUCUCUAGCAGGGGACUCUGAAACAGGAGGAUGCCUGUCCCCCCUCCUCCUUUUUUUUCCCUUUUCACCCAAUAAAACCUUGCUUUACUCACCCUUUAAACCAUCUUUGAGCCUAAAUUUUCAUGUCUAUAGGAUAGACAAGAACCCUGUCUUUAGCUAAA